GACGAACGCUGGCGGCGUGCUUAACACAUGCAAGUCGAACGAUGAAGCUGGAGCUUGCUCCGGUGGAUUAGUGGCGAACGGGUGAGUAACACGUGAGCAAUCUGCCCUUGACUCUGGGAUAACUGCGGGAAACUGUAGCUAAUACCGGAUACGAGGCUCGAAGGCAUCUUCGGGUCUGGAAAGAAUUUCGGUCAAGGAUGAGCUCGCGGCCUAUCAGCUUGUUGGUGAGGGAAUGGCUCACCACGGCGACGACGGGUAGCCGGCCUGAGAGGGUGACCGGCCACACUGGGACUGAGACACGGCCCAGGCUCCUACGGGAGGCAGCAGUGGGGAAUAUUGCACAAUGGGCGAAAGCCUGAUGCAGCAACGCCGCGUGAGGGAUGAAGGCCUUCGGGUUGUAAACCUCUUUUAGCAGGGAAGAAGCGAAAGUGACGGUACCUGCAGAAAAAGCACCGGCUAACUACGUGCCAGCCGCCGCCGUAA
This 483-nucleotide ribosomal RNA is filed under the name uncultured bacterium. RNAcentral's name for it is "partial 16S ribosomal RNA". It matches the Rfam family "Bacterial small subunit ribosomal RNA", at positions 28 to 523 of the family's 1533-position model. The record is from RNAcentral.